Zootermopsis nevadensis is the source of this 1068-nucleotide non-coding RNA. Lineage: Eukaryota; Metazoa; Arthropoda; Insecta; Blattodea; Termopsidae. The record is from RefSeq and is a predicted model, not a curated record.
CAUGCAGAAUUUUAAAUGCUGGAUGCGCUGAUUUCCUCACAGGCGACACCAGGCUCAGAAACGGAAGAUGGUAGCCUCAGGUUAGAUCGAGGCACCUAUCAGUACAUGUACCAGGACAUAGUGAACAUCAAGACAAUGCUUCUAAAGCUCAAGAGGGUCUUACAAGAGAAUGAAGAGAACGGUUUGAUGAGGGCAGAAACUCUCAACCCAUUCGAUGGAACAUUGAAGAAUGGUCUCUUCUACACCUUGGCAAGUAGCGAGGUGAUGGCUGGUGCUGACACAGAAGAUGGCAGUGAGUCAGGUGUUGGCCAUUCACCGCAAGAGGAAGUGGCAGAUCUUCGGCGGCAGGUGGUGUUCCUGCAGCAGCAGAUGGAGGAGAAGGAACGAACAAUACAGCUUCUUCAGCUGCAGAUGACAAAGUACACAAAUUCGGAUUCUGUGACACAUGCAGCUGCUAAAGAGUCCUGCAAUGCUACUACACAGACUGAGAGGGUUCGACCAGUGUCAGCAGGACCAUCUCUCCUUCAGUCACUGCCAUCAGAAGGCAACAUGGGACCCCUUGUGAGGCUGACUCAGCAACAGUAACUGUUACUUUUACAUGUCUGGCUGGAUGCUGCAGCUUCAGGAUAGGGAAGACUUUUGGUUUUGACUGAUACAUGGGUCCAGAGGAGACAGCCAUCACUGGGAUAGCCGGAGGUAGGAUGACAACCAGUAAUGACAACUUCAAAAUUCCCAGGGAAAGGGGUCUGGAAGCAGCGAAAUAGCUUGGCUGCCUUAGAACUUGUUGCUGCAGUGACAUCUAGAUCCGAGCAAUCGGGCAUCCCUACAAGGAAGUAUAGUGCUAUUACCACAUCCUCAACAUUACCAAGACGAAGUCACAUAGGAAGUAACAGCAUAGCAACCAAAACCUGACAGAAUUUGUAGAUUUGUAUGUUGUAUGUUGUGAUAUUUUGAAUAUUGAUGGUGGUCCAGUUGCCUGCUCUAGGAUAUCGAAGAUCCUUCUUUCCCACACAUUCAUAUCUGAAAUUGACAUGUAUUUAAAAUUAAAAUGGGUAGCUGGCGUAUUAA